Molecule: ribosomal RNA, 507 nt
Filed under: Baseodiscus cf. curtus
Lineage: Eukaryota; Metazoa; Nemertea; Pilidiophora; Heteronemertea; Baseodiscidae
Description: partial 16S rRNA
Rfam family: Bacterial large subunit ribosomal RNA
Source: RNAcentral
AGCCUGUUGGUUAACUGUUAUAAUAGGUGUUUUCUGCCCGGUGAAAUUUUAACGGCCGCGGUACUUUGACCGUGCAAAGGUAGCAUAAUCAUUUGCUUCUUAAUUGGGGGCUCGUAUGAAGGAAAGUAUGAAUGUCUAGCUGUCUCCCUCCGAAAAAAGAAUUUUCUGUUGUUGUGAAGAAGCAACAAUGCUAAAAAAAGACAAGAAGACCCUAUCGAGCUUUACCCUAGAAAUUAAAAAAUUGUGAAAAUAUUAAAUAAAUCGCAUAUACUUCUCUGGGUUCCGUUGGGGUGACGAAAAAAGAAAAAAUCUUUUUUAAUAAUAAAACUAUUUUGUUGAAAAAAGAUCGGUUUUUAGCCAUUAUUAGAAAAAGUUACCGUAGGGAUAACAGCGUAAUUUUUUUAGAGAGCCCAUAUCGAAAAAAAAGAUUGCGACCUCGAUGUUGACUUGUCAUUUCCUUUUGGUGUAGCCGCUAUGAGGGUUGGUCUGUUCGACCAUUAAAAUGAU